Molecule: transfer RNA, 74 nt
Filed under: bacterium JGI 053
Lineage: Bacteria
Also listed under: 1 other name
Rfam family: tRNA
About the family: Transfer RNA (tRNA) molecules are approximately 80 nucleotides in length. Their secondary structure includes four short double-helical elements and three loops (D, anti-codon, and T loops).
Source: Rfam by way of RNAcentral
GCGCCCGUAGCUCAGCGGAACAGAGCGUCGGUUUCCGGCACCGAAGGCCGCAGGUUCGAGCCCUGCCGGGCGCA